UACGUAGGGGGCAAGCGUUGUCCGGAAUCAUUGGGCGUAAAGAGCGUGUAGGCGGCCCGAUAAGUCCGCUGUGAAAGUCCAGGGCUCAACCCUGGAAUGCCGGUGGAUACUGUCGGGCUCGAAUCCGGAAGAGGUGAGUGGAAUUCCUGGUGUAGCGGUGAAAUGCGCAGAUAUCAGGAGGAACACCAAUGGCGAAGGCAGCUCACUGGGACGGUAUUGACGCUGAUACGCGAAAGCGUGGGGAGCAAACAGG
RNAcentral lists this ribosomal RNA (253 nucleotides) under uncultured bacterium. Its description in RNAcentral is "partial 16S ribosomal RNA". It matches the Rfam family "Bacterial small subunit ribosomal RNA", at positions 524 to 776 of the family's 1533-position model. The record is from RNAcentral.